CCACUGAUUCUCUUUCUUCCGCCAUAACUCAAAGAUGAGACAAUGAAGAAGAAGAAAAAGGUAUCAACUUUAUAAAACCGAUAAAGAUGCCAAUUUGAAGAAAACUCAAUCUGCAGCGGAGAGAUGUUACGCAGCGGCGGAGAGAUGUUACGCACCGCCGGAUGUGUGAUGACGAGAAUUAGAGUAACUAAUUUAAAGACGGACUGGGAGGAACAGACCAGGCGAGAUUGGCGUCGGAGAGCUCGACGGAAUUAAAGGAAGAGAAACCUCUUCACCGCUCGUAACGAUCAAGGGUAUCUUUGAACCCCAAAUAAAAAACAUCUCAAUAAGUAUUUCACAGGAAAUUACUUGGCCAAUUCCUUACCGAAAGUGGUUUUUUUAAUUUUUCUAAAAUGAUUGUGUUCACGAAGGGAGGAUCAAGACAUGUCUCUUGAAGAGUCAUGUUGAUAUCCUGCCUGAACUCAUUUAUGAUUGUGGCUCUAAACUCUGUGUGCGCGAGCGAUGUACAUGUAUUGUGGAAACGAUGUACAUAUGAACAGUUUGGUAUAUGUGUCCAUGUGUACACCCAUUUUUUUGUGUACACACAUUUUCAUU
Molecule: long non-coding RNA, 594 nt
Organism: Raphanus sativus (radish)
Lineage: Eukaryota; Viridiplantae; Streptophyta; Magnoliopsida; Brassicales; Brassicaceae
Exons: 3
Source: RefSeq, a predicted model, not a curated record